CCAGAAGCACUCACUUAAAAGAUGGGCUAUUCAGUUAAAGCUGAGUACACAUUUCCCAGAAACAAAGGGUUGCUGUAACCAUUUUACUGCUGUGGCUGACAUACGUAGCUAUUAGGCUCGGAGGCAUUUCCAGUCUGACUGCUAGUUCCUGGCAGAGUUUCGAUCUUCAGAGGUGAAUAAGGCAAGGAAAAGAAAGAGUGGGUGACAAAGGUCACAAAUCUUUACCAAGAUGACUGAAUCUCUCUCAUUCAUGUAAUACAGCUUCAGCAAUCUGAUUUCAACACCCCGUCAUCUCCUGGGGGAAAAAAUGCUAAGAUUUCCAAGUUCAGAGACCAGUGUGAAACUGGUUCUCCUCAACUAAAAGCAUUUAGGGACGGGAUCCGUGAUGUCCUCUCCCCAGAUGCCAACAGAAUGACAAAGCAGCAGCCACGUGAGCUGAUAAAGUCACAAAAGAGGGCUUGACUACAGAGAAUAUGCUGAGGGCAGCCAUCACAGGCUGGCACAAUUAGACUUCCACGCAGCACAGAGAGUGACAGCACAAACAUGGCGUAUCAACAGCACGGGGUCACCCCGAGAAGGAAUUAUCAAUGAGGAAAUACUACAGGCUGUAGAUUUAUAUACCUCUCCUCUGAAAUUUUCAUAAUGCAGAUCGAUGAUUAUGUUAGUCUUUGAGAUUCAGGCAGAGCAAGGAAGCAAAUAUCUUGCUCUUCAUUGUCUCUUCAAUAUUGGUAUUAUCCGAACCCUGUCACACUUUCUUGUGUUUAAAAAAUAAUAAUCAGAGUACCCCAGACAGAUUACUGGGGUUGAGUUUAGAGUUGGUAAAAUUUAAUGUUUUUUUAAAAGCAUUUAAAAAUACUCUAUGCUUUUGAAAACUGAUGACUAAUUUUAUAUGUCAAUUUCACUGAGCCACUGGAUGCCCAGAUAGUUGAUCAAAUACUAUUCUGGGUGUUUCUGUGAGAGUGUUUUUGGAUGAAAUUAACCUUUAUAUUACUAGACUGGGUAAAGCAGAUUGCCAUCCAUAAUGUGGGUGGGCCUCAUCCAAUCAGUUGAAAGCCUGAAUAAAACAAAAAGGCUGAAAUUCCCCCAAUUAACAGAGAAGUCUUCCUCCCUGAUUGCCUUUAAACUGGGACAUUGGCUUUUUUUUCUUGCCUCUCGGCUCAAACAAAAACAUCAGCUCUUCCUGAGUCUUGAGUCUGCCAUCCUGCAGACUACAGCUACCCCAUCAGCUCUCCUGGUUCUCAGGCCUUCAGUCUAAGACAGGAACUAAGCCACUGGCUCCCAUAGGUCCACAGCUUGCUGACUUAUCCUGCAGACUUUGAGACUUGUCAACUUCUGCAAUCACAUGAGUCAAUUCUUACCAUAAAUCUCUUUGUGUAUAUCUCUUAUUUAUUUUGUUUCUCCGGAGAACACUGACUAAUACAGAUGCCUUUGCUUAGGAAAAGGUUAUGGCU
Callithrix jacchus (white-tufted-ear marmoset) is the source of this 1451-nucleotide long non-coding RNA. RefSeq lists it as uncharacterized. NCBI's taxonomy places the organism in Eukaryota, Metazoa, Chordata, Mammalia, Primates, Cebidae. The record is from RefSeq and is a predicted model, not a curated record.